Molecule: transfer RNA, 90 nt
Filed under: Deinococcus rubellus
Lineage: Bacteria; Thermotogati; Deinococcota; Deinococci; Deinococcales; Deinococcaceae
Also listed under: 3 other names
Description: tRNA-Ser
Rfam family: tRNA
About the family: Transfer RNA (tRNA) molecules are approximately 80 nucleotides in length. Their secondary structure includes four short double-helical elements and three loops (D, anti-codon, and T loops).
Source: RNAcentral
GGAGAGGUGCCAGAGCGGUUGAAUGGGUCAGUCUCGAAAACUGAAGUAUGGGCAACUGUACCGUGGGUUCGAAUCCCACCCUCUCCGCCA